This 394-nucleotide ribosomal RNA is filed under the name uncultured bacterium. RNAcentral's name for it is "partial 16S ribosomal RNA". It matches the Rfam family "Bacterial small subunit ribosomal RNA", at positions 523 to 918 of the family's 1533-position model. The record is from RNAcentral.
CUACGGAGGAUGCAAGCGUUAUCCGGAUUUAUUGGGUUUAAAGGGUGCGUAGGCGGAUGAUUAAGCGUGAGGUGAAAUGCCACUGCUCAACAGUGGAACUGCCUCGCGAACUGGUUGUCUUGAAUGCUCCUGCCGUGGGAGGAAUGUGUGGUGUAGCGGUGAAAUGCAUAGAGAUCACACAGAACACCGAUUGCGAAGGCAUCUCACGAAGGGGUGAUUGACGCUGAGGCACGAAAGCGUGGGGAUCAAACAGGAUUAGAUACCCUGGUAGUCCACGCAGUAAACGAUGAUAACUAACCGCUGGGUCGUAGUGAUUCAGUGGCCAAGCGAAAGCGAUAAGUUAUCCACCUGGGGAGUACGACCGCAAGGUUGAAACUCAAAGGAAUUGACGGGG